UUUACAUUCCUUACACAAUAACUUAAAGUUACGAAUAGUGUUAUGAGAAUUACCAUUUAAAAAAAAAUAGAAAAAAAUAAGGAAAUAAGCAAAAAAUAAAUAAAACUAGCAUCAUACUCGCAACUCUCUUGUGGAUCAGGUUCUGGAUCCUGAUCAUCUUGAUCUGAAAUGGUUAAAUAAGGAAUGAGCUACACUAGCGCAGUAAGAAUAUCACGACAACUCACCGACACAGAAUAAAGGUUGGUAGAAAAUCAAAACAACUAAUAGAACAUUUAAUUAAACAAAUGCAUUUAUU
RNAcentral lists this long non-coding RNA (295 nucleotides) under Carica papaya (papaya). Its description in RNAcentral is "long non-coding RNA (CPAP_LNC013680)". The record is from RNAcentral. Lineage: Eukaryota; Viridiplantae; Streptophyta; Magnoliopsida; Brassicales; Caricaceae.